CUGAGUACGGCGGAACACGUGAAAUUCCGUCGGAAUCCGGGAGGACCAUCUCCCAAGGCUAAAUACUCCCUAGUGACCGAUAGUGAACCAGUACCGUGAGGGAAAGGUGAAAAGCACCCCGGAAGGGGAGUGAAACAGUUCCUGAAACCGUGUGCCUACAAGUAGUUAGAGCCCGUUAAUGGGUGAUAGCGUGCCUUUUGUAGAAUGAACCGGCGAGUUACGAUUUGUUGCAAGGUUAAGCGGAAAAAGCGGAGCCGUAGCGAAAGCGAGUCUGAAUAGGGCGCAUAAGUAACAGGUCGUAGACCCGAAACCAGGUGAUCUACCCAUGUCCAGGAUGAAGGUAAGGUAAUACUUACUGGAGGUCCGAACCCACGCACGUUGAAAAGUGCGGGGAUGAGGUGUGGGUAGCGGAGAAAUUCCAAUCGAACUUGGAGAUAGCUGGUUCUCUCCGAAAUAGCUUUAGGGCUAGCCUCGAGGUAAAGAGUCAUGGAGGUAGAGCACUGUUUGGACUAGGGGCCCUUCUCGGGUUACCGAAUUCAGAUAAACUCCGAAUGCCAUGUACUUAUACUCGGGAGUCAGACUGCGAGUGAUAAGAUCCGUAGUCGAAAGGGAAACAGCCCAGACCACCAGUUAAGGUCCCCAAAUAUAUGUUAAGUGGAAAAGGAUGUGGGGUUGCUUAGACAACCAGGAUGUUGGCUUAGAAGCAGCCACCAUUGAAAGAGUGCGUAAUAGCUCACUGGUCGAGUGACCCCGCGCCGAAAAUGUACCGGGGCUAAACAUAUUACCGAAACUGUGGAUGAACCUCUUUAGAGGUUCGUGGUAGGAGAGCGUUCUAAGGGCGGUGAAGUCAGACCGGAAGGACUGGUGGAGCGCUUAGAAGUGAGAAUGCCGGUAUGAGUAGCGAAAGAAGGGUGAGAAUCCCUUCCACCGAAUAUCUAAGGUUUCCUGAGGAAGGCUCGUCCGCUCAGGGUUAGUCGGGACCUAAGCCGAGGCCGAUAGGCGUAGGCGAUGGACAACAGGUAGAGAUUCCUGUACCAGUGCUAAUUGUUUAACCGAUGGGGUGACACAGAAGGAUAGGGAAUCGCACGAAUGGAAAUGUGCGUCCAAGCAGUGAGUGUG
RNAcentral lists this ribosomal RNA (1119 nucleotides) under Listeria monocytogenes. Its description in RNAcentral is "bacterial LSU rRNA". It matches the Rfam family "Bacterial large subunit ribosomal RNA", at positions 408 to 1527 of the family's 2925-position model. Lineage: Bacteria; Bacillati; Bacillota; Bacilli; Caryophanales; Listeriaceae. RNAcentral also lists the same sequence under 1 other name. The record is from RNAcentral.